CCUACGGGGGGCUGCAGUGGGGAAUAUUGGGCAAUGGGCGCAAGCCUGACCCAGCAACGCCGCGUGAGGGAAGAAGGCUUUCGGGUUGUAAACUUCUUUUCUCAGGGACGAAGCAAGUGACGGUACCUGAGGAAUAAGCCACGGCUAACUACGUGCCAUCAGCCGCGGUAAUACGUAGGUGGCAAGCGUUAUCCGGAUUUACUGGGUGUAAAGGGCGUGUAGGCGGGACUGCAAGUCAGAUGUGAAAACCACGGGCUCAACCUGUGGCCUGCAUUUGAAACUGUAGUUAUUUAGUACUGAGAGGCAGACGGAAUUCCUGGUGUAGCGGUGAAAUGCGUAGAUAUUAGGAGGAACACCAGUGGCGAAGGCGGUCUGCUGGACAGCAACUGACGCUGAGGCGCGAAAGCGUGGGGAGCAAACAGGAUUAGAUACCCUGGUAGUC
RNAcentral lists this ribosomal RNA (442 nucleotides) under uncultured bacterium. RNAcentral's name for it is "partial 16S ribosomal RNA". It matches the Rfam family "Bacterial small subunit ribosomal RNA", at positions 338 to 795 of the family's 1533-position model. The record is from RNAcentral.